This 508-nucleotide ribosomal RNA is filed under the name uncultured bacterium. Its description in RNAcentral is "bacterial SSU rRNA". It matches the Rfam family "Bacterial small subunit ribosomal RNA", at positions 68 to 565 of the family's 1533-position model. The record is from RNAcentral.
GGUAGCACAGGGGAGCUUGCUCCCCGGGUGACGAGUGGCGGACGGGUGAGUAAUGUCUGGGGAUCUGCCCGAUGGAGGGGGAUAACUACUGGAAACGGUAGCUAAUACCGCAUAACCUCGAAAGAGCAAAGUGGGGGACCUUCGGGCCUCACACCAUCGGAUGAACCCAGAUGGGAUUAGCUAGUAGGUGGGGUAACGGCUCACCUAGGCGACGAUCCCUAGCUGGUCUGAGAGGAUGACCAGCCACACUGGAACUGAGACACGGUCCAGACUCCUACGGGAGGCAGCAGUGGGGAAUAUUGCACAAUGGGCGCAAGCCUGAUGCAGCCAUGCCGCGUGUAUGAAGAAGGCCUUCGGGUUGUAAAGUACUUUCAGCGGGGAGGAAGGGAUGAAGGUUAAUAACCUUCGUCAUUGACGUUACCCGCAGAAGAAGCACCGGCUAACUCCGUGCCAGCAGCCGCGGUAAUACGGAGGGUGCAAGCGUUAAUCGGAAUUACUGGGCGUAAAG